This 253-nucleotide ribosomal RNA is filed under the name uncultured bacterium. RNAcentral describes it as "partial 16S ribosomal RNA". It matches the Rfam family "Bacterial small subunit ribosomal RNA", at positions 524 to 776 of the family's 1533-position model. The record is from RNAcentral.
UACGUAGGGAGCAAGCGUUGUCCGGAAUCAUUGGGCGUAAAGCGCGCGUAGGUGGCCCCAUAAGUCCGCUGUGAAAGUCAAAGGCUCAACCUUUGAAAGCCGGUGGAUACUGUGGGACUAGAGUACGGAAGAGGCGAGUGGAAUUCCUGGUGUAGCGGUGGAAUGCGCAGAUAUCAGGAGGAAUACCGGUGGUGUAGACGGCUCUCUGGACCGUCACUGACGCUGAGACACGAAAGCGUGGGUAGCAAACAGG